Marchantia polymorpha subsp. ruderalis is the source of this 186-nucleotide microRNA precursor. It matches the Rfam family "MIR159 microRNA precursor family". The record is from Rfam. Lineage: Eukaryota; Viridiplantae; Streptophyta; Marchantiopsida; Marchantiales; Marchantiaceae.
GAAGUUCGGAUGGAACUCCCUUCAGUUCAACAGUGGGCUGUUUGGGUCCAUAUCUGCUGCUGAAUCAUUCAUUCGCCCGUUCAAUCCUACGAGAAAAGGAUUGAUUGGGCGUGUGAUUGAGGCAGGAGCUGCUUUCGAUCUGUACAAUCCGUCCUUGGACUGAAGGGAGCUCCCUCUCAGGCUUCG